RNAcentral lists this ribosomal RNA (492 nucleotides) under uncultured bacterium. RNAcentral describes it as "partial 16S ribosomal RNA". It matches the Rfam family "Bacterial small subunit ribosomal RNA", at positions 29 to 507 of the family's 1533-position model. The record is from RNAcentral.
AGUGAACGCUGGCGGUAGGCCUAACACAUGCAAGUCGAACGGCAGCACAGUAAGAGCUUGCUCUUACGGGUGGCGAGUGGCGGACGGGUGAGGAAUACAUCGGAAUCUACUUUUUCGUGGGGGAUAACGUAGGGAAACUUACGCUAAUACCGCAUACGACCUACGGGUGAAAGCAGGGGGUCUUCGGACCUUGCGCGAUUGAAUGAGCCGAUGUCGGAUUAGCUAGUUGGCGGGGUAAAGGCCCACCAAGGCGACGAUCCGUAGCUGGUCUGAGAGGAUGAUCAGCCACACUGGAACUGAGACACGGUCCAGACUCCUACGGGAGGCAGCAGUGGGGAAUAUUGGACAAUGGGCGCAAGCCUGAUCCAGCCAUACCGCGUGGGUGAAGAAGGCCUUCGGGUUGUAAAGCCCUUUUGUUGGGAAAGAAAAGCAGCAGGUUAAUACCCCGCUGUUCUGACGGUACCCAAAGAAUAAGCACCGGCUAACCUCGUG